CGAUACAAGGUGAUAGCCCUGUACACGACGCAAUCUUUACAGUGAAAUCGAGUAGGUCGGGACACGUGUUAUCUUGACUGAAUAUGGGGGGACCAUCCUCCAAGGCUAAAUACUCCUGACCGACCGAUAGUGAACCAGUACCGUGAGGGAAAGGCGAAAAGAACCCCUGUGAGGGGAGUGAAAUAGAACCUGAAACCGUAUACGUACAAGCAGUGGGAGCCCUUCGGGGUGACUGCGUACCUUUUGUAUAAUGGGUCAGCGACUUAUAUUUAGUAGCAAGGUUAAGCGAAUAGCGGAGCCGUAGCGAAAGCGAGUGUUAACUGCGCGUUUAGUUGCUAGGUAUAGACCCGAAACCCGGUGAUCUAGCCAUGAGCAGGUUGAAGGUUGAGUAACAUCAACUGGAGGACCGAACCCACUGACGUUGAAAA
Molecule: ribosomal RNA, 428 nt
Filed under: uncultured eukaryote
Lineage: Eukaryota
Description: partial Bacterial large subunit ribosomal RNA
Rfam family: Bacterial large subunit ribosomal RNA
Source: RNAcentral